AAUGAACGCUGGCGGCGUGCCUAACACAUGCAAGUCGUACGAGAAAGGGGCUUCGGCCCUGAGUAGAGUGGCGCACGGGUGAGUAACGCGUGGGUAAUCUGCCCUUGGAUUUGGGAUAACUCUGCGAAAGUGGAGCUAAUACCGGAUAGUCUGGCUUUAAUUGAUAAGUCGGUAAAGGAUGCCUCUGCAUAUGCAUUCGUCCAAGGAUGAGCCCGCGUCUCAUUAGCUAGUUGGUAGGGUAAUGGCCUACCAAGGCAACGAUGAGUAGCUGGUCUGAGAGGAUGAUCAGCCACACUGGAACUGAAACACGGUCCAGACUCCUACGGGAGGCAGCAGUGGGGAAUAUUGCGCAAUGGGCGAAAGCCUGACGCAGCAACGCCGUGUGAGGGAUG
RNAcentral lists this ribosomal RNA (392 nucleotides) under uncultured bacterium. RNAcentral describes it as "bacterial SSU rRNA". It matches the Rfam family "Bacterial small subunit ribosomal RNA", at positions 29 to 410 of the family's 1533-position model. The record is from RNAcentral.